This 262-nucleotide unclassified non-coding RNA is filed under the name plant metagenome. RNAcentral describes it as "partial contains small subunit ribosomal RNA, internal transcribed spacer 1, and 5.8S ribosomal RNA". The record is from RNAcentral.
UCUCCGUUGGUGAACCAGCGGAGGGAUCAUUACCGAGUUUACAACUCCCAAACCCCUAUGUGAACGUUACCAAACUGUUGCCUCGGCGGGAAAUUCAUGCCCCGGGCGCGUCGCAGCCCCGGACCAAGGCGCCCGCCGGAGGACCAACCAAAACUCUUUUGCAUGUCCCUCGCGGACUUUGAUAAUUCUGAACCAUCUCAGCGCCCCUAGCGGGCGUUUCGAAAAUGAAUCAAAACUUUCAACAACGGAUCUCUUGGUUCUG